RNAcentral lists this transfer RNA (64 nucleotides) under Cordylochernes scorpioides. RNAcentral's name for it is "tRNA-OTHER". The record is from RNAcentral. Lineage: Eukaryota; Metazoa; Arthropoda; Arachnida; Pseudoscorpiones; Chernetidae.
UGCAUCGGCCGGGAAUCGAACCCGGCCGUGGCAGGCGAGCAUUCUACCACUGAACCACCGAUGG